This 426-nucleotide ribosomal RNA is filed under the name Triticum aestivum (bread wheat). RNAcentral describes it as "partial small subunit ribosomal RNA". The record is from RNAcentral. Lineage: Eukaryota; Viridiplantae; Streptophyta; Magnoliopsida; Poales; Poaceae.
AUGGAGAUGUCCGACUACAUGUUAUACCUGCUUUUCAUCCGCACCGAGAUGUUGACGCCCGGCACCAGACCGGGUCUCUUCACCGUCGCCAUAUAUGAUCUAGAGGAAAUCUUGAAGAACAGCAAGGCAAAGCUCCAGGAUGAAGAAGCACUUGCUCAAGAGAUUAUUCAACAGACGGCUGGGAGUACUCUGAUUCACAAAGCUUGCAGGCUCGCUAUGUCAUUGAUGGACCUGCAGGAAGAGGAGAUGUGGGAGAUAAUCCAGGGCGUGUGGGUGGAGAUGCUCUGCUACUCUGCGAGUAGAUGCAGAGGAUUCCUGCACGCCAAGAGCCUGGGUGAAGGCGGGGAAUACCUCUCCUAUGUGUGGCUCCUCUGGUCAUACAUGGGGAUGGAGACAUUGGCGGACAGGAUUCACAAGCCCGACUAA